RNAcentral lists this transfer RNA (85 nucleotides) under Gynuella sunshinyii YC6258. RNAcentral describes it as "tRNA-Leu (TAG) (tRNA-Leu-TAG-1-1)". It matches the Rfam family "tRNA". From Rfam's summary of the family: Transfer RNA (tRNA) molecules are approximately 80 nucleotides in length. Their secondary structure includes four short double-helical elements and three loops (D, anti-codon, and T loops). Lineage: Bacteria; Pseudomonadati; Pseudomonadota; Gammaproteobacteria; Oceanospirillales; Saccharospirillaceae. The record is from RNAcentral.
GCGGAUGUGGUGAAAUUGGUAUACACGCUGGAUUUAGGUUCCAGUGCCGAGAGGCGUGAGAGUUCGAGUCUCUCCAUCCGCACCA